AGAUGCAUGGACAGAUAUGUCCCCCAUGGGUCCCGGACUGAGAGACAGCGGGUGUGUAUCGUUAGGGAAGACAUGCAUCACUAUAUUUGACAUUGCAUCUCAUGGCAUUACACAUUUUAUUAUUGAUGAACUUGAACAUGUGUUUUGUUGAUCCUGUGAGUGUUUCUCUGUGAAGCUUGUGACUGUUGAAUAUUGAGUUGUUAUUGAGAAUGUGUAAACUGAUAGAGUGUGGUUAUUGAGUUGUGUGUUUGGUAAACUGUAACCUAUUAGACUGUAUCGUAGAGGUUUAGAUAUGGUAUAAGGAGUGCCCGUAUUUUGUUCACUUAACUUGUGUUUAGAGGUUUGCUUGUUGGGUACCGCGUGGUUUGGUACUCACCCCUUGCUUCUACAAAUUUUUGUAGGAUACGAGCCUGGAUCAUCGUGAUACUUGUCAUUCUUUUCGUUUCCGAGGCAUCUUGUGGAGGAUUGUGAGGUAGCUGCUUGUCAUCUCAGCGAACUUUCCUACUCCAGUUUAUGACUUUGUUUUUACUUGAAAGACAACUUCAUUCAGACUUCUACUUUAUUUCAAUUCUAGUAUUUACAUUAGAGGCUUGUGCACGUGACAACCUGAUUUUGGGGAUUGGAUUAAUAUAACUUGGUUUCAUAAUAGGAAUUGUUGUUGGAUUGUCAUUUACUUCCGCACUUUGUUAGAUAUUUGGUUUUAGGCUGACUUGUCUUGGUGGGAUAAGACGAGUGCCAUCACACCCAUUUUUGGGUCGUGACAAAAUGGUAUCAGAGCCCCAGGUUCAUAGGUCUCACGUGUCUACAAGCCGAGUCUACGUAGAGUCUCAAGGGUCAGUACGGAGACGUCGGUACUCAUCUUUGAGAGGCUACAAAGAUUACUAGGAAACUUCCUUUUGUUCAUUGUUUCUCAUCGUGCGUAGUUACCUUCGUUAGUACUGAGUUGUUGUAUACUCUAUUGACAGAUGACGAGGACUAGAACUAAUGUUACUGGUGGUAGAGGGGAGGCACUUCCCGAGGCAGUUGUUGAGGCCCCAGCUAGGGGUAGGGGUAUAUCUCGAGCUAGAGGUCGUGCUAGUAGUACGACAGUAGCCAGAGGUCGUGGACGUGGAGCAGCACCACUGAGAGGUAGUGCUAGAGAGGUCUCUACCGAACCUCAGAUUGAUGACAUAGAGGACCAGGUUCCUUCAGAUCCCAUAGUCACACCUUUGCUUCAGGAUACGCUAUUGAGGGUGUUAAGUGUGUUAGAGGGAUUUUCUCAGGGUGGUGGUGCAACUACCACACCACAUGACUCUCGUACUAGAGAGGGGGCUCAGACCCAAGAGCAGCAACAAGCUCCGGUUGUUCAGGAUGCGGUGGGGCAACUACCAGUAGAUCCCGCGGUUCAGAAUGAUAUUGCACCAGCAGUUGGGGGUCAAGUUGCAUCGAUGGUUGUUCUGACAGAGGAUGAGCAGCGUAGGUAUGAGAGAUUUCGAAAGAUGGACCCACCUCAGUUUCAGGGUGGGAAGAGCGAGGACGCUCAUGAGUUUCUAACUACCUGCCGAGAGUUACUAGAGGUGGUUGGAUUAGCUGAGUCACAUGGGGUUAGAUAUGCUACACUCCAGCUUCGUGGACUAGCGAGAGACUGGUGGAGGACUUAUUCGGGGGUUUUGCCAGUUGGAUCUCCUCCAGUGACUUGGGAGCAGUUUGCUAGUGCAUUCCAAGAUCGUUUUAUCCCAUGGAGCGUGAGAGAGGAGAGUCGCUUGAGGUUUGAGAGUUUGAGACAGGAUGGUUUAUCGGUCACAGAGUAUGAGGCGCAUUUUUGCCAGUUGUCUAGGCAUGCGUUGGCCAUUAUUCCAAAUGAGACAGAGAGGAUCCGCAGAUUUGUGAGGGGAUUGACUUUCUCUAUCAGGUCAGCUGUGUUUCGGGCAUCUAGGGAGGGGGCUUCUUUUCAGUCCAUUGUGAGCGCCGCCAAAGAGGCAGAAUUGAUGGAGAGAGAGGAGUUUGGGGACCCUAAAAGAGCCCGUAUAUCAGGACAGUUUCAUGGUGCCUCAUCUGGAGGUAGGGGAUCACAGAGAGUGAGUGGUUCUUUUCAACAGCGGGGACCUAUUCAUGCAUCUAUGCCGACAUUUGAGGGUGGCCAGACAUCUAGGGGUUCUUAUAGCCCGGGUCAGAGCUCGUACGGUUCACAGUAGCGACCUACAAAGUGAGGAAAUUAUAGUGGGUUUUCAAGGUCCACACAACAGUUCCCAGGUCAGAGAUUUUGUUUUACUUGUGGAGAUCCCGAUCAUCUAAUGCGGCAGUGUACUUCACAAAGGGGUCGUGGUGGUCCUCGACCUAAUUCUUCAUUCCAGACUAGACCACCAGCACCACAGGGUAGAGGUCGUGGCAGAGUUCAGUCAGGUAGAGGUGAUAGAGUUUUUAGUAGUGGUGUUGCAGCUCAGCAGAGUGGGGGUAGAGGUACCACCCAGGAUGGAGGUGGACGAGGAGGCCACUGCUAUGCUUUCCCCGGGAGACCUGAGGUGGAGACCUCUGAUGCUGUUAUUACAUGUAUCAUCCCAGUAUGCCAUCGACCUGCGUCUGUGUUGUUUGAUCCAGGUUCUACAUUCUCUUAUGUGUCUACGUAUCUUGCUGCUAAAUUUGAUAUGAUAUGUGAUAGUAUGACUGUACCUAUUCGUGUUUCUACACCCGUGGGUAAACCCUUAGUGGUGGAUCGAGUGUAUCGAUCCUGUCUUGUUUCUUUGGCUGGGUAUGACACUUGGGUAGACUUAAUCAUUCUGGGGAUGGUGGACUUUGAUGUUAUCUUGGGUAUGGAUUGGCUUUCUCCUUAUCAUGUUGUCCUUGAUUGUAAUGCUAAGACUGUGACUUUAGCUAUGCCUGGUGUUCCGAAGGUUGAGUGGAAGAGUGUUAGUGGUUCUUACCCUAGCAAGGUCAUCUCUUUUAUCCGUGCUCAGAGAUUGGUGGAGAGGGGGUGUUUGUCUUACUUAGCUUUUAUUCGGGAUACUAGCGUUGAACCACCUCCCAUGGAUUCUGUUCCCGUGGUUCAGGAGUUUCCCGAUGUAUUUCCUUCUAAUCUUCCAGGUGUUCCUCCCGAUAGGGACAUCAAUUUCGCUAUUGAUUUGGAGCCGGGCACUAAGCCUAUUUCUAUCCCUCCAUACCGUAUGGCUCCAGCAGAGUUGAAAGAAUUGAAGGAUCAGUUGCAGGAUUUAUUGAGUAAGGGUUUUAUUCGCCCUAGUGUGUCACCUUGGGGUGCCCCUGUAUUGUUUGUGAAGAAGAAGGAUGGGACUAUGAGAAUGUGUAUUGAUUACAGACAGUUGAACAAAGUAACAGUUAAGAAUAAGUAUCCUCUUCCGCGUAUUGAUGACUUAUUUGAUCAGUUACAGGGAGCAUCAUUGUUCUCUAAGAUUGAUCUGAGGUCUGGGUAUCAUCAGUUGAAGAUUAGGGCAUCAGAUAUCCCUAAGACAGCUUUUCGGACUCGGUAUGGGCAUUAUGAGUUUCUAGUGAUGUCCUUCGGAUUGACUAAUGCCCCUGCAGCAUUCAUGGAGUUGAUGAAUGGGGUGUUUCGACCAUACCUUGAUUCUUUUGUGAUUGUUUUCAUCGAUGACAUCUUGGUUUACUCUAAGACUGAGGAGGACCAUGUCCGACACCUAAGGAUUGUACUUCAGAGGUUGAGAGAAGAGAAGUUGUAUGUCAAGUUCUCAAAGUGUGAGUUCUGGCUUACUUCUGUAGCAUUCUUGGGACACGUGGUGUCCAAGGAGGGUAUUAGAGUAGAUCCGACCAAGAUAGAGGCAGUUAGAGGAUGGACGCGACCUACUUCACCUACUGAGAUUAGGAGUUUUGUGGGAUUGGCAAGUCAUUAUCGACGAUUUGUUCAGAGUUUCUCUACUAUUGCAACUCCAUUGACUAGAUUGACUCGACAGGAUGUGAGUUUUCAGUGGUCUGAUGAGUGUGAGGAGAGCUUUCGAAAGCUCAAGACUUUGUUGACUUCUGCUCCUGUGUUGACUCUACCUGAGGAAGGUGUAGACUUUACUGUGUAUUGUGAUGCCUCAGGAGUUGGUUUGGGUGGUGUGUUGAUGCAGAAGGGGAAAGUGAUUGCUUAUGCUUCUAGGCAGUUGAAAUCCCAUGAGAAGAACUACCCUACUCAUGAUUUGGAGUUGGCGGCUGUGGUAUUUGUACUUAAGUUAUGGCGUCAUUAUUUGUAUGGAGUGCAUUGUGAGAUCUUCACUGAUCAUCGGAGUCUUCAGUAUAUCUUUAGCCAGAGGGAUUUGAACUUGAGGCAACGAAGAUGGCUUGAGUUGCUGAAGGACUAUGAUGUGACCAUUCUGUAUCAUCCGGGGAAGGCCAAUGUUGUGGCCGAUGCUUUGAGUAGGAAGACUCAUAGCAUGGGGAGUCUUGCAUCUCUUAGUGUUGAGGAGAGACCAUUGGCUAGAGAUGUUCAAUUGUUAGCUAACAGUCUUGUCCGAUUACAGAUCUCAGAGGAGAGUGAUGGGAUGAUUGCUUUUAUUGAGGCUCGAUCUUCUUUAGUCGAGCAGAUUCGUGCACACCAGUUUGAUGACGAAAAAUUAUGUCUCGUUCGAGACAAAGUAUUGAGAGGGGAAGCUAAGGAGGCUGUCCUUGAUUCUGAUGGUGUCUUGAGGAUCGGAGGCAGGAUUUGUGUGCCCAAGACAGGCGAUUUGAUUAGAUUGAUCCUUGAGGAGGCCCAUUGUUCUCGAUAUUCUAUCCAUCCGGGAGCGGCGAAAAUGUAUCAUGAUCUGAGUCAGCAUUACUGGUGGUGUGGGAUGAAGAGAGAUAUUACAGACUUUGUUUUGAGGUGUUUGACUUGCCAACAGGUCAAGUGUGAGCACCAGCGGCCUGGUGGUGUAUCUCAAAGGAUGCCUAUUCCUACUUGGAAGUGGGAGCGGAUUACUAUGGACUUUGUUGUGGGUUUGCCUACCACAGUGGGUGGUUAUGACUCUAUUUGGGUUGUUGUUGAUAGGCUGACCAAGUCUGCCCACUUCAUCCCGGUUCGGGUAAAGUAUACAGCAGAAAAGUUAGCCGAACUAUAUAUCAGUCAGAUUGUGCGACUACAUGGAGUUCCUGUUUCUAUCAUAUCAGAUCGAGGUUCACUAUUUACUUCUCACUUCUGGAAGGCAUUACAACAUGGUCUGGGUACUCAGUUAGAUAUGAGUACGGCAUUUCACCCUCAGACAGAUGGUCAAUCUGAGCGGACCAUUCAGGUAUUGGAAGAUAUGCUUCGAGCGUGUGUAAUCGAUUUUGGUGCAAGAUGGGAUCGACAUUUACCCUUAGCGGAGUUCGCCUAUAAUAACAGUUAUCACUCUAGUAUCCAAAUGGCCCCAUUUGAGGCAUUGUAUGGUAGACGGUGUAGAUCUCCUAUUGGUUGGUUUGAUUCGGCAGAGAUGGACUCUUUGGAUACAGACUUGCUUAGAGAUGCUAUGGAGCAAGUCCGUAUGAUUCAGUAUAGAUUAUUGACAGCUCAGAGUCGACAGAAGAGUUAUGCAGAUCGGAGAGUUAGAGCCUUGGUGUUUAUGGAGGGUGAUCAUGUUUGGCUCCGAGUAUCACCCAUGAAGGGUGUAAUGAGGCUUGGAAAGAAGGGCAAGCUUAGCCCUAGGUUCAUUGGACCUUUUGAGAUUUUGAGCCGAGUGGGAGAGGUGGCCUAUAAUUUGGCCUUGCCACCUAGUUUGUCGGCAGUUCAUCCUGUUUUCCAUGUCUCUAUGCUUCGGAAGUAUAUUCCGGAUGAAUCUCAUGUGAUUUCACUUGAUUCUGUGGAGUUGGGUCCAGACUUGACAUUUGAAGAGGAGCCUAUAGCUAUUUUGGAUAGGCAGGUUCGAAAGCUUAGAACCAAGGAGAUUGCUUCAGUGAAGGUGCAGUGGAAGCACCGAUCAGUGAGAGAGGCAACUUGGGAGACUGAGUCUGACAUGCGUGCCAGAUAUCCUCAACUUUUUUAGGCUUCAGGUACUUUCUUUCACCUUAUGUUCGAGGACGAACAUGGUUUUUAGUGGUGGAUAAUGUAAUGACCCGAAAGGUCAUUUUUGAAAAUUUUAAAUAUUAAUUUAAUUAAGAAUAAAUUAAUUUAUGACUAAUUAUUAAAUAACUAAUUGUAAUUAAUAAUUAUGGUUAAGUUUAUAAAAAAAAAUUUUACCAUAUACCAAUUACCCUUAUAGGAAAUAAAUUAUUAGGGUUAGAGAGUUUUUAGUUUAUAACUUUAAGAAAAGAAAAGGAGACACCUGCGUAUAGCGACGAUUGGCGUAGAACUGCAAUUCACGAUCAGGUAAUGUUCAUGAAUUUUUCAUUCAUUAUGCAAUUGAAAAUAUUGAGGUCAAAUGUAGUACAAGCAUAAUUAUCAUUAUAAUAAUGUGUGAAAAUGAGUAAGGAAUCAAAUUGUUAACUUUAUUAACUAUAUUAUUAUUUGCAAGUUACAGUGGAUCAGAAUUGAAAUUGUACUAACUUGAACGUGAUUUCUAUAUAUAUAUAUUUAUCAUAGUGGUAAUGUUAAUGACGAUUAAAAAAAAAUUGAGGGUAAUUAUCGAUCAGUAAAGAUAAUUAAUUGUUGAGGGAUAGUUUCUAAGAAUAUAACCUGUGUCAAUUUGAGUUCUGAAAAAUUUUGGGUUUUCUUGUAACUAAAAUAUUAUGUCCAUGAUUUUGAUUUUUAGUGUUUCUCUAAUUCCUUGUUAUAAUUGUCACAUAUAAUUUAAGUUUGGAUAUAUUGAGAUAGGUAAAUAAAUAUAAAGUGUAAUGUAUUUUGUGAAUAGCAUUAGACUUGUGAUAUUUGAGGAAUUAAGACUUAAUCGUAAACUUGAAAAUUGGAGAAAAGUUAAAAGAGUUGACAUGUCAAAUGACAUCAAAAGUUAAGAACUUGAUUAUAAAUUUGUGCUCUAUGAUUUUUGGUCUAUGUUAGACACGUAGUGAUAUGGAUGUUGUUAGGUUUAAAAUCUUAUUGUGAUCGUUAAUAGGAAUAGAUUGUAUUGGUUUGGAAGUACAACGAAAGGAAAAGGCUCAAGUUCAGAGUGAUUGUUCGACUAUUUGAGGCAAGUGGAUUUCUAAGCUCUUGUUAAGCGUACGAAAUUCGUGUAUAUCCUUGUGUGAUGUUGAGAAUGAUUUAGAGACUUGUUGUUUAUUUGUUGGUGUUGUAUUUCUUGUUGUAAAUUGUGUUUGGUUAUCAAAUGGUUAUCUCCUCCCUUUUCAUUUGAGCAUGUCAUUUGCAUUGUAUCUGAGAAAUUGUUGUGGUAAGAGGAUGGUGUACUAUUUUCGAGGGUCGUAUCGCGCGCCGCGAUGGAUAUUAUAUUUCGAGGGACGUAUCGCGCGCCGCGAAGGUUACUACUUAUCGAGGGUCGUGUCGUGCGCCGCGACAGAUGCAUGGACAGAUAUGUCCCCCAUGGGUCCCGGACUGAGAGACAGCGGGUGUGUAUCGUUAGGGAAGACAUGCAUCACUAUAUUUGACAUUGCAUCUCAUGGCAUUACACAUUUUAUUAUUGAUGAACUUGAACAUGUGUUUUGUUGAUCCUGUGAGUGUUUCUCUGUGAAGCUUGUGACUGUUGAAUAUUGAGUUGUUAUUGAGAAUGUGUAAACUGAUAGAGUGUGGUUAUUGAGUUGUGUGUUUGGUAAACUGUAACCUAUUAGACUGUAUCGUGGAGGUUUAGAUAUGGUGUAAGGAGUGCCCGUAUUUUGUUCACUUAACUUGUGUUUAGAGGUUUGCUUGUUGGGUACCGCGUGGUUUGGUACUCACCCCUUGCUUCUACAAAUUUUUGUAGGAUACGAGCCUGGAUCAUCGUGAUACUUGUCAUUCUUUUCGUUUCCGAGGC
RNAcentral lists this long non-coding RNA (7778 nucleotides) under Solanum lycopersicum (tomato). RNAcentral describes it as "long non-coding RNA (SLYC_LNC001433)". The record is from RNAcentral. Lineage: Eukaryota; Viridiplantae; Streptophyta; Magnoliopsida; Solanales; Solanaceae.